AUCAAAUAAGGCUACAUGCUAGGUCAGCACUCUAUCUACAUAUUCAGCCCCUAACACUUCUAUUUUCUGCAAUACUAUUCUUUCCUUCUGUAUUUUCUCCAGUUUACAAAUCCCUACAUUAUAAAACAUGCCAGGACUGUGGGUGGAGCUCAGCGGGGAGUGUCUGCUUAGAAUGCCUAGGCUCUGGGCUUAAUCUUUCCCCUUCUUUCCUUCCUUCCUUCCUUCCUUCUUUCUUUCUUUCUCUUCUUUUUUUUUUUUAAGAUUUAUAUAUUUACUUUAUGUAUAUGAGUACACCAUUGCUCUCUUCAGAGACACCAGAAGAGGGCAUCAGAUACCAUUACAGAUGGUUGUGAGCCACCAUGUGGUUGCUGGGAUUUGAACUCAGGACCUCUGGAAGAGCAGUCAGUGUUCUUAAACUGCUGAACCAUCUCUCCAGCCCUCUCUUUUCUUUAUUAAUGUCUUAAUUUUUUUAAAGCUUUGUUAGUAAGAUGAAAUUAACUGCCCACCCAAUUUUUGCAGAAUAAGUUGUUAACAUCAUCUUGUCCCCUGAAUACAGUUUGCUGGCAAGCUUUUAGUUGAGGUGUGUGUGUGUGUCCAGAUAGUUUUCUUUUGUGAAGUUCCACCAAUGUUUUCAUGCCGUAAUUCUAACUUACUUUGUUAGUAUGGAACUAAAAUAGCUAUUAGCAAUGCAUAUAGAGAGCACAUGGAAUUUUAGGGCCUCUUUCAUUGUGAGUCUUGGAGCCCAAUGCAAGUGCCCCACUUUAGGGAUGUAUCUGCUAAUGUAUUUGUAAAGUAGGGGAAAUUUGGGUCACCAUUAAAAGGACUAGCCAUUAUUGCUAAGUCUUACUAAGUUCCCAAUAGUUGUUUUUAAUGCAGGAAGUCAUAGUCAUGUUUUUUAGGAUGGCCUGGUUAGUGACUCAAAGUUUAUUUAUUUAUUUAUUUAUUCAUUUAUUUAUUUAUUUAUUAUAUGUAAGUACACUGUAGCUGUCUUCAGACACUCCAGAAGAAGGAGUCAGAUCUCGUUACGGACGGUUGUGAGCCACCAUGUGGUUGCUGGGAUUUGAACUCCGGACCUUCAGAAGAGCAGUCGGGUGCUCUUACCCACUGAGCCUUCUCACCAGCCCCUAUUUUUUUUAUUUUUAACACACUGAUUAAAGCAGUAUGGAUUCACAAGGGGAAAAGCCAUUAACUACACAGUAUGUCCUACAUCUUAACUACACAGAAUGUCCUAUAUCUUUAUGAGGGUUUCAGACUCUCUUAUGCUUUGAGCUUUUUGCCAACAGCAAAAGCUACAGAGAUUUUUCUUAAAUGAAAAUAGGUAACAAGCAAAACCAAACAUAAGUAAUUUCACUAUCUAUUCAAUACUAAAGACAUUUAAACUUAUUAGAAGUCUAAAAUUAGCAUCAGAUUAAAUCUAUAUAUUUCAUAUUAGAUGCAGAAAUAAUAUUGAACAUGAUUUUUAAUUUAGAGGCUCCUGCCAGGUGUGAUGGCAUGCACCUUUAAUGCCAACACUGAGGGUACAGAGGCAGGUGAUCUGUAUGAGUUCAGGCCCAGCCUGGUACAUAGCAAGUGAGUUCUAGGUCAGACAAGACUGCAUAGUGAGACAGUAUAUAAACAAACAAUCAAUCAAUCAAUCAAUCAAUCUAGAAUCUCCUAAUUGUCUUGCUUAUAUCACGUCCGCUGUGGUAAAUGCAAAGCCAUUUCUAACUGGUUUCCCAAGAGGAAAUGAGUUUUCUCUGUACUUGUGAGUCAGGUUUUAAAUCCUAAGAAAUGUUGGUAAUUUAGGGUAAAUGGUAUAUUCUUCUCUUUUUUUUUUUUUUUCAGCUCUUGAAUUACUUUCAUUAAAAAGUUAAGAGGCAGGGCAUGCCUGUAAUUUCUGCAGUAUUGUGGCUAAGGCAGAAGGACCACAAGCUGGAAGCCAACCAAAGCUGUACAGUUAAACCCUGUCUCAGAAAAACAAAACAGUGUAGCACAUAGAGCCUUGGAUGCACUCUGAAAGUGGACAUUAAUAGGAUGAUUGGAAAUGCAAACAAUCUGGAUAGCUAAUUAAAUUAAAGCAUUAUUACCUACUAACUGAUAACUUUCUGAUUUUGACAAUUGUAUGGCUAUAUGGUUAUAAGACAAAUAGGAAAUUUUGGGGUGAUGAGUAUGUAAAAAAUCCUUUAUCUUGUUUCUGCUAUUUUUUUUAUUUUAUUACAUUUUAAUUUAUUACACGUGUACAGGUCAGAGGACAGCUAAAGGGUGUCAGUUGUGUCUUUCUGACACGCAGGUCCUAAGGCUGAAACUGAGGUCAUCUGGCUUAGCAGCAGAUGUUUUUCCCCACUGAGCCCUCUCAGCAUUACAAGAAAGUAAUUCAGCCAGGUGUGGUGGCACACACUUUGAAUCCCACACUCAGGAGGCAGAGGCAAGCUUAUUUCUGUGUUCAAGGUUAGCAUGGUCCACACAGGGAAUUCCAGGGAAGCUAAGGCAACACAGUGAAACCCUGUCUCAAACAAACAAACAAACAAAAUUAUUUAACAAUGAAAAGCUAGAAGCCAUUCCUCAUGGUGUAGGCCUGUAAUCCCAACUACUGGGGAAGUUAAAGCAAGAAGGAGUUCAGUGCCUGCACUCAGUGACUUUGAACCUAGCCUAGACAACUUAGUGAGACCCUAUCUCAAAAUAAAAAAGUUGAGAGCUUGCCCAGUGUGUGAAAAGUCCCAAUAUCAAGAGCAAG
RNAcentral lists this long non-coding RNA (2713 nucleotides) under Mus musculus (house mouse). RNAcentral's name for it is "long non-coding RNA chr1:55068346-55071059". Lineage: Eukaryota; Metazoa; Chordata; Mammalia; Rodentia; Muridae. The record is from RNAcentral.